UGAGGAAUAUUGGUCAAUGGUCUAACGACUGAACCAGCAAUUUGGAAGAACGUAUAAUAAAUAAAUUAUUUAAAGUUCUAGAUAAAAUAUUUAUAAUGACUAUUUUUUAUCUAUAAGUCUUGGCCAAAUUACGUGCCAUCAGUCGCGGUAAUACGUAAAAGACGAGUGUUAUUCAUCUUUAAUCGGUUUAAAGGGUACCUAGACGGAAAAUCAAGCUUAAUUAAACUAAGGACUAGUUUUCUAGAGUUUGACAUGAGAAGGUACGAACUAUCAAAGGAGAGAUAAAAUUUGUUGAUUCUGGUGGGACGGACAACGGCGAAGGCAAUCUUCUACUAAAAACUGACGUUGAGGGACGAAGCCUUGGGGAGCGAGAAGGAUUAGAUACCCUAGUAGUCCUUGGAGAAAAUUAUGAGUGCCAUAGACUAAAGUGAAAAAGAAGUUCUUUUAAAAGAACUUUGUAUCUGAGCCUUAAUUGGAUACGAAGGUCUCGAGUAGCACUUUAUAAAUGAAAGUGUAAGCAUUCCACCUCAUGACUAAAGCGGCGACGCCCAAAUUGAAAUCAUUAGACCGUUUCUGAAACCAGUAGUGAAGUAUGUUAUUUAAUUCGAUAACCC
RNAcentral lists this ribosomal RNA (614 nucleotides) under Chaetothyriales sp. Its description in RNAcentral is "SSU rRNA". It matches the Rfam family "Bacterial small subunit ribosomal RNA", at positions 355 to 960 of the family's 1533-position model. The record is from RNAcentral. Lineage: Eukaryota; Fungi; Ascomycota; Eurotiomycetes; Chaetothyriales.